RNAcentral lists this ribosomal RNA (442 nucleotides) under uncultured bacterium. Its description in RNAcentral is "bacterial SSU rRNA". It matches the Rfam family "Bacterial small subunit ribosomal RNA", at positions 958 to 1399 of the family's 1533-position model. The record is from RNAcentral.
AACGCGAAGAACCUUACCUACCCUUGACAUACAGUGAAUUCUGCAGAGAUGUAGGAGUGCCUUCGGGAACACUGAUACAGGUGCUGCAUGGCUGUCGUCAGCUCGUGUCGUGAGAUGUUGGGUUAAGUCCCGUAACGAGCGCAACCCUUAUUCUUAGUUACCAGCGCGUAGAGGCGGGGACUCUAAGGAGACUGCCGGUGACAAGCCGGAGGAAGGCGGGGACGACGUCAAGUCAUCAUGGCCCUUACGGGUAGGGCUACACACGUGCUACAAUGGCCGAUACAGAGGGAGGCGAAGGGGUGACCUGGAGCGAAUCCUAAAAAGUUGGUCGUAGUCCGGAUUGAAGUCUGCAACUCGACUUCAUGAAGUCGGAAUCGCUAGUAAUCGCGAAUCAGCAUGUCGCGGUGAAUACGUUCCCGGGCCUUGUACACACCGCGUGUCU